CUGUCCUGCCCUUCCUGGGAGUGUUUCUAGCCUGUUACUGGAGAAGUCGGAGCCUGGAGCACAGGAAACCACGAGGAGGGACCCCUGUGCCCUCCCAGAAGGAAGCUGGUCCUAGUGCAGCUUCACACAGCUGCUCGGCCAUCCGUGUCCUUCUCUCUGCCAGGAGAGCCAGGGGAAGGCGCCAUCUGAGUGGU
This 194-nucleotide small nucleolar RNA is filed under the name Tupaia belangeri chinensis (Chinese tree shrew). Its description in RNAcentral is "Tupaia chinensis (Chinese tree shrew) Small nucleolar RNA U3". It matches the Rfam family "Small nucleolar RNA U3". Rfam says of the family: Small nucleolar RNAs (snoRNAs) are involved in the processing and modification of rRNA in the nucleolus. There are two main classes of snoRNAs: the box C/D class, and the box H/ACA class. U3 snoRNA is a member of the box C/D class. The record is from Rfam by way of RNAcentral. Lineage: Eukaryota; Metazoa; Chordata; Mammalia; Scandentia; Tupaiidae.